GGUGGCUUAGUGGUAGAGCGCUUGCCUUGCAUGCAUGAAGCCCUGGGUUCGAUUCCUCAGUACCA
RNAcentral lists this transfer RNA (65 nucleotides) under Dipodomys ordii (Ord's kangaroo rat). It matches the Rfam family "tRNA". Rfam says of the family: Transfer RNA (tRNA) molecules are approximately 80 nucleotides in length. Their secondary structure includes four short double-helical elements and three loops (D, anti-codon, and T loops). The record is from Rfam by way of RNAcentral. Lineage: Eukaryota; Metazoa; Chordata; Mammalia; Rodentia; Heteromyidae.